GAUGAACGCUGGCGGCGUGCCUAAUACAUGCAAGUCGAGCGAACAGACGAGGAGCUUGCUCCUCUGACGUUAGCCGCGGACGGGUGUGUAACACGUGUAUAACCUACCUAUAAGACUGGGAUCACUUCGGGAAACCGGAGCUUAUACCGGAUAAUAUAUUGAACCGCAUGGUUCAUUAGUGAGUUACGGUUUUGCUGUCACUUAUAGCUGGUUCCGCGCCGCAUUAGCUAGUUGGUAAGGUAACGGCUUACCAAGGCAACGAUGCGUAGCCGACCUGAGAGGGGGAUCGGCCGCACUGGAGCUGAGACACGGUCAAGACGCCUACGGGAGGCAGCAGUAGGGAAUCUGCCGCAAUGGGCGAAAGCCUGACGGAGCAACGCCGCGUGAGUGAUGAAGGUCUUCGGAUCGUAAAACUCGGUUAUUAGGGAAGAACAAAUGUGGAAGUAAAUAUGCACGUCUUGACGGUACCUAAUCAGAAAGCAACGGCUAACUACGUG
RNAcentral lists this ribosomal RNA (497 nucleotides) under uncultured bacterium. RNAcentral's name for it is "partial 16S ribosomal RNA". It matches the Rfam family "Bacterial small subunit ribosomal RNA", at positions 28 to 507 of the family's 1533-position model. The record is from RNAcentral.